RNAcentral lists this transfer RNA (72 nucleotides) under compost metagenome. RNAcentral's name for it is "tRNA-Gly". It matches the Rfam family "tRNA". From Rfam's summary of the family: Transfer RNA (tRNA) molecules are approximately 80 nucleotides in length. Their secondary structure includes four short double-helical elements and three loops (D, anti-codon, and T loops). Further hydrogen bonds mediate the characteristic L-shaped molecular structure. tRNAs have two regions of fundamental functional importance: the anti-codon, which is responsible for specific mRNA codon recognition, and the 3' end, to which the tRNAs corresponding amino acid is attached (by aminoacyl-tRNA synthetases). tRNAs cope with the degeneracy of the genetic code in two manners: having more than one tRNA (with a specific anti-codon) for a particular amino acid; and 'wobble' base-pairing, i.e. permitting non-standard base-pairing at the 3rd anti-codon position. The record is from RNAcentral.
GCGGUAUUGGUAUAGUGGCUGUGCCCCAGACUUCCAAUCUGGAGACGCGAGUUCGAUCCUCGCAUACCGCUC